This 71-nucleotide transfer RNA is filed under the name Amborella trichopoda. RNAcentral's name for it is "tRNA-Met". Lineage: Eukaryota; Viridiplantae; Streptophyta; Magnoliopsida; Amborellales; Amborellaceae. The record is from RNAcentral.
AUCAAAGUGGCACAGCGGAAGCGUGGGGGCCCAUAACCCAUAGGUCUCAGGAUCAAAACCUGGUUUUGAUU